Long non-coding RNA from Zonotrichia leucophrys gambelii, 402 nucleotides. RefSeq lists it as uncharacterized. The record is from RefSeq and is a predicted model, not a curated record. The transcript has 3 exons. NCBI's taxonomy places the organism in Eukaryota, Metazoa, Chordata, Aves, Passeriformes, Passerellidae.
CUGUGGGUGCUGUUCAGGCGCCGCAGCCCGAGCCCACACCCCUCUUGUUACGCCGGGUCUGGGAGCUGAUGUUGUUGAAAAAUUACCUACCGAAAAACGAAUUGCUUUUUGGCCAGACCAGGUCCUCAUUCCAGCUGCCCACAUGAGCAUAGUUUGUGCUGGGGAGCUGCACCGAGGCAGGAGGAAGGAAGGUGCUGCGCUUUUGGUCCUGGAGCAAAAAGCCAUGAUUUAUAUGUAGCAUGCUGGUUCUUCCCCGAGGGUGAGGAGUCUUUUCCUAGACCUUGCAAGAUGAGAGGCUGACAAAAAGGUUUUCCUUCUUUCUACUCAUUUCAAUCUAUUGUUUGUUUUCUUAUUUUAUUCUGUUCAGUGAUUUAGAAUUAACCUUUGGAGAGGUACCAAGAG